GCCUGGGUGGCUCAGUCGGUUAAGCAUCUGACUUCGGCUCAGGUCACGAUCUCACGGUCCGUGAGUUCGAGCCCCACGUCGGGCU
Molecule: transfer RNA, 85 nt
Filed under: Felis catus (domestic cat)
Lineage: Eukaryota; Metazoa; Chordata; Mammalia; Carnivora; Felidae
Also listed under: 1 other name
Rfam family: tRNA
About the family: Transfer RNA (tRNA) molecules are approximately 80 nucleotides in length.
Source: Rfam by way of RNAcentral